RNAcentral lists this ribosomal RNA (219 nucleotides) under uncultured bacterium. Its description in RNAcentral is "partial 16S ribosomal RNA". It matches the Rfam family "Bacterial small subunit ribosomal RNA", at positions 118 to 341 of the family's 1533-position model. The record is from RNAcentral.
UGAGCAAUCUGCCCUUCACAUCGGAAUAACCAUUGGAAACGAUGGCUAAUACCGAAUAUGACUUCGGAUCGCAUGAUCUGAAGUGGAAAGCUCCGGCGGUGAAGGAUGAGCUCGCGGCCUAUCAGCUUGUUGGUGAGGUAAUAGCUCACCAAGGCGAUGACGGGUAGCCGGCCUGAGAGGGCGACCGGCCACACGUGGGACUGAGACGACCGGCACGUA